UAGGGAAUCUUCCGCAAUGGACGCAAGUCUGACGGAGCAACGCCGCGUGAGUGAAGAAGGUUUUCGGAUCGUAAAGCUCUGUUGUAAGAGAAGAACGAGUGUGAGAGUGGAAAGUUCACACUGUGACGGUAUCUUACCAGAAAGGGACGGCUAACUACGUGCCAGCAGCCGCGGUAAUACGUAGGUCCCGAGCGUUAUCCGGAUUUAUUGGGCGUAAAGCGAGCGCAGGCGGUUAGAUAAGUCUGAAGUUAAAGGCUGUGGCUUAACCAUAGUACGCUUUGGAAACUGUUUAACUUGAGUGCAAGAGGGGAGAGUGGAAUUCCAUGUGUAGCGGUGAAAUGCGUAGAUAUAUGGAGGAACACCGGUGGCGAAAGCGGCUCUCUGGCUUGUAACUGACGCUGGGGCUCGAAAGCGUGGGGAGCAAACAGGAUUAGAUACCCUGGUAGUCCACGCCGUAAACGAUGAGUGCUAGGUGUUAGACCCUUUCCGGGGUUUAGUGCCGUAGCUAACGCAUUAAGCACUCCGCCUGGGGAGUACGACCGCAAGGUUG
RNAcentral lists this ribosomal RNA (550 nucleotides) under uncultured bacterium. Its description in RNAcentral is "bacterial SSU rRNA". It matches the Rfam family "Bacterial small subunit ribosomal RNA", at positions 355 to 896 of the family's 1533-position model. The record is from RNAcentral.